GGUUGCUUCAUCACUCAGCUUUGUUUCUAGCCUUGCUGCCCUACACUUAAUGGAAAGGGAUAAAAGAUAGAAGUGCUUCAACAAAGGGACCACAAGAUGGUCAAAGCUUCAAAGCACUGCCAUAAUACCAUCCUGGAUGAGAGUGGUAAUAUACCAAACAGCAGUUCUUCAACAACAUUUGAAAGUUUAUUCUCCAUCUCAAAAGCAAAUUAGACAGAGGUACUUUCUCCCUCUCAAAUAUGAAAAACACUGUGAAAAGAGGUUUUUCUUCAGCGUGUUCCUCCUUCCUCGAGCAGCUAAGGAGAAACCCUGUGCUCUUCCUGGCACGAACCAAAGUUGCUGCUAGCGGAGGAAACAAGGCUGUGAGAAGGAAACAGCAGGCACUGUGCAACUUUGCCUUGUUAAGGGAAGUGAUGGUCAGUCUGUUCCAUUUCUCCAACUCAGCCAUUCACUCAUUUAGAGACAAUAGCUCAACUAAGAAUUAUCAAAGGAAUUCUCAUUUACAAUGACGAGUGAAAUGGCUACAUGCAAGGCAGACCUUUCUAAAGAAAGUAGUCCUUCCUGGAGAAAGGCCCACCUAACCUAGGCUUGAGCAACACUGACGUCGGGGAUCAUCUCAGUCUUGAAUGCUGCAGACACAAAACAAGAAAUCCCAGUCAAGCAGUCGGCAAAUAUCAAUUGCAGGAGUCAAAUGACUGUAAAAAUUUAAUUUCACAUUAUCAUUACAAUUCAGCUGAUGGAAAAGAAUAAAAAUGUGGGUUGUGUGUAUGGGAUUAGUCA
This 780-nucleotide long non-coding RNA is filed under the name Struthio camelus australis. RNAcentral's name for it is "lncRNA (ENSSCUG00000016276.1)". Lineage: Eukaryota; Metazoa; Chordata; Aves; Struthioniformes; Struthionidae. The record is from RNAcentral.